This 516-nucleotide ribosomal RNA is filed under the name Damon variegatus. Its description in RNAcentral is "partial 16S ribosomal RNA". It matches the Rfam family "Bacterial large subunit ribosomal RNA", at positions 1887 to 2600 of the family's 2925-position model. The record is from RNAcentral. Lineage: Eukaryota; Metazoa; Arthropoda; Arachnida; Amblypygi; Phrynichidae.
GGUUUUUUGUUUUGAUGAAAAAUCUGGCCUGCUCUAUGAUUUGUUUAAAUGGCCGCAGUAUAUUGACUGUGCUAAGGUAGCAUAAUAAUUAGUCUUUUGAUUUGGGACUGGAAUGAAAGGUUUGUCAAGGGGGUAACUGUCUUAAGGUUGGUGUAUUUAAUUUGAUUUGAGUGUGAAAAAGCACUUAUUGAGCUAAGGGACGAGAAGACCCUAUCGAGUUUAAUAUGUUAUUGGUGUAUAUUGGCUAAAUGGUUGGUUGAGCACUUGGGAUGCAUGUUUUACUGGGGCGGUGUAGAAAGAGGGAAUCUUUUUAAUAUUUUAGGUUGUGAGACAUUAGUGGGUUAGGAUCCAAUUUGUGAGAAUUGAUAGAAGGAUUAAAUUACCGUAGGGAUAACAGCGUAAAGUUAUUGGAGAGUUCAUAUUGAUAAUAGACUUUGCGACCUCGAUGUUGAAUUAGGAUGGCUGCUUGGUGGAGGAGCUUAACAAGAGAGUCUGUUCGACUAGUAAUAUCCUACA